GCCAGGCGUGGUGGUGCAUGCCUGUAAUCCCAGCUACUUGGGAGGCUGAGGCAGGAGAAUCACUUGAACCCAGGAAGUGGAGGUUGCAGUGAGCCGAGAUCACGCCACUGCAUUCCGGCCUGGGUGACAGAGUGAGACUCUGUCUUAA
Papio anubis (olive baboon) is the source of this 148-nucleotide unclassified non-coding RNA. It matches the Rfam family "Metazoan signal recognition particle RNA". Rfam says of the family: The signal recognition particle (SRP) is a universally conserved ribonucleoprotein. The record is from Ensembl. Lineage: Eukaryota; Metazoa; Chordata; Mammalia; Primates; Cercopithecidae.